CAACAUCUUGUCCAAUGGCAUGUCUGAUCCAGGAAUCAUUCUUCGUACAGCGAGUUCUUUUGUCCCUGGUUCAUGACAUCGGUCUUGUGUGCAGUAUUGUUCUGUGUUUCGUGUCUGGCUGGAGAUGCUCUGCCCGAUGCAUGGAGGUGGUAAGAGCGAGUAGAGGUAGAAGGGCAAGAUUCUGUGGUUAAUAUGCUGAUAUGCUUAAACCAUUCAGUUUAGGGGCAUACCAUACGUUGCAGAAGAAGUAGCCCUAGGUGCAGUGGGUGAGGAGAGCAGUUUCUGCUUGGCUCUGCAGCCACAGAGGGGAUGACCAAAAGUGUGCGGGAGAAUCCAGUGGAGUGGUAACGGAGCAGUUUAAAUUCAAAGGGAUUGGGACGUAAUGUUUGGGUUUGGUUGUUGACUUGUGCUUGGCUGUAUUGUGCAGUAGAGAUGGUAUUGCUAAAUGGAAGUGAGAGGUCUGGAACCGUUAAGGUGUCACUGAAUGUCUGAGUGACUACUUUGAUAUUGUGUUUUUCAGAUGCAGAGGGACAACUGGUGUACCAAAAACUGCUGAUGGAGUUGCAGGUGGAGUGCCAUAGGGAGGUGGAGACCAAGCCUCACCAUGGCAGCCUGAGAUGAUGGAUGCUGGGCAGGAGAGCGGUCAAGGAAACAUAACAGGAGAUGGGUAUUGCUGGGGGCAGCCUCUGCUUUGCGUUAGUAUCUUAAGUACCUCUCUUCUUUUGCAGGUGCCACAUACAGCCUCAGAGGAGUUGAGCUUCAUGCUGAAAAAUGGUUUGAGAGGCGCUGCGCAGGCCGCCUUUGCAAUGGGAAGAGCAGUUGAGGUGAGCCGGGUAGUGGGGAGAAGGAGCAU
This is a long non-coding RNA of Cuculus canorus (common cuckoo), 853 nucleotides long. RefSeq lists it as uncharacterized. The record is from RefSeq and is a predicted model, not a curated record. Lineage: Eukaryota; Metazoa; Chordata; Aves; Cuculiformes; Cuculidae. The transcript has 3 exons.